This 490-nucleotide ribosomal RNA is filed under the name uncultured bacterium. RNAcentral's name for it is "partial 16S ribosomal RNA". It matches the Rfam family "Bacterial small subunit ribosomal RNA", at positions 29 to 507 of the family's 1533-position model. The record is from RNAcentral.
AUUGAACGCUGGCGGCAGGCCUAACACAUGCAAGUCGAACGGUAACAGGAAGAAGCUUGCUUCUUUGCUGACGAGUGGCGGACGGGUGAGUAAUGUCUGGGAAACUGCCUGAUGGAGGGGGAUAACUACUGGAAACGGUAGCUAAUACCGCAUAACGUCGCAAGACCAAAGAGGGGGACCUUCGGGCCUCUUGCCAUCGGAUGUGCCCAGAUGGGAUUAGCUAGUAGGUGGGGUAACGGCUCACCUAGGCGACGAUCCCUAGCUGGUCUGAGAGGAUGACCGCCCACAGGGAAACAGAGACCGGGCCGAGACCCAGAGGGGGGGCGAGGGGGGGGAAUAUUGAACGAGGGGCGCAGGCUGAAUGCAGCAGGCCGGUGUGUAGGAGAAAGGCCUUCGGUUUGUAAAGUACUUUAGGGGGGGGGGAAGGAAGUAAAUUUAAUACCUUUGCUAUUGAAGUUACCCGGAAAAAGAAACCCCGAAUAACCCCGUG